GGACUACCAGGGUAUCUAAUCCCGUUUGCUCCCCUGGCUUUCGCGCCUCAGCGUCAGAAAAGGUCCAGCACGUCGCUUUCGCCACCGGCGUUCCUUCCGAUAUCUACGCAUUUCACCGCUCCACCGGAAGUUCCACAUGCCCCUACCUCCCUCAAGACGACCAGUAUCAGAAGCUAUUUUCCAGUUGAGCUGAAAGAUUUCACCCCUGACUUGGCCCCCCGCCUACGCGCCCUUUAAGCCCAGUGAAUCCGAACAACGUUUGCACGGUUCGUCUUACCGCGGCUGCUGGCAC
Molecule: ribosomal RNA, 292 nt
Filed under: uncultured bacterium
Lineage: Bacteria
Also listed under: 1 other name
Description: partial 16S ribosomal RNA
Source: RNAcentral